GACGAACGCUGGCGGCGUGCUUAACACAUGCAAGUCGAACGGAAAGGCCCUGCUUUUGUGGGGUGCUCGAGUGGCGAACGGGUGAGUAACACGUGAGUAACCUGCCCUUGACUUUGGGAUAACUUCAGGAAACUGGGGCUAAUACCGGAUAGGAGCUCCUGCUGCAUGGUGGGGGUUGGAAAGUUUCGGCGGUUGGGGAUGGACUCGCGGCUUAUCAGCUUGUUGGUGGGGUAGUGGCUUACCAAGGCUUUGACGGGUAGCCGGCCUGAGAGGGUGACCGGCCACAUUGGGACUGAGAUACGGCCCAGACUCCUACGGGAGGCAGCAGUGGGGAAUAUUGCACAAUGGGCGGAAGCCUGAUGCAGCAACGCCGCGUGCGGGAUGACGGCCUUCGGGUUGUAAACCGCUUUCGCCUGUGACGAAGCGUGAGUGACGGUAAUGGGUAAAGAAGCACCGGCUAACUACGUGCCAGCAGCCGCGGUGAUACGUAGGGUGCGAGCGUUGUCCGGAUUUAUUGGGCGUAAAGGGCUCGUAGGUGGUUGAUCGCGUCGGAAGUGUAAUCUUGGGGCUUAACCCUGAGCGUGCUUUCGAUACGGGUUGACUUGAGGAAGGUAGGGGAGAAUGGAAUUCCUGGUGGAGCGGUGGAAUGCGCAGAUAUCAGGAGGAACACCAGUGGCGAAGGCGGUUCUCUGGGCCUUUCCUGACGCUGAGGAGCGAAAGCGUGGGGAGCGAACAGGCUUAGAUACCCUGGUAGUCCACGCUGUAAACGGUGGGUACUAGGUGUAGGGUCCAUUCCACGGGUUCCGUGCCGUAGCUAACGCUUUAAGUACCCCGCCUGGGGAGUACGGCCGCAAGGCUAAAACUCAAAGGAAUUGACGGGGCCCCGCACAAGCGGCGGAGCAUGCGGAUUAAUUCGAUGCAACGCGUAGAACCUUACCUGGGUUUGACAUGGAUCGGGAGUGCUCAGAGAUGGGUGUGCCUCUUUUGGGGUCGGUUCACAGGUGGUGCAUGGCUGUCGUCAGCUCGUGUCGUGAGAUGUUGGGUUAAGUCCCGCAACGAGCGCAACCCUUGUUCACUGUUGCCAGCACGUUAUGGUGGGGACUCAGUGGAGACCGCCGGGGUCAACUCGGAGGAAGGUGGGGAUGACGUCAAGUCAUCAUGCCCCUUAUGUCCAGGGCUUCACGCAUGCUACAAUGGCUGGUACAGAGAGUGGCGAGCCUGUGAGGGUGAGCGAAUCUCAGAAAGCCGGUCUCAGUUCGGAUUGGGGUCUGCAACUCGACCUCAUGAAGUCGGAGUCGCUAGUAAUCGCAGAUCAGCAACGCUGCGGUGAAUACGUUCCCGGG
Molecule: ribosomal RNA, 1343 nt
Filed under: uncultured bacterium
Lineage: Bacteria
Description: 16S ribosomal RNA
Rfam family: Bacterial small subunit ribosomal RNA
Source: RNAcentral